UACAGAGGGGGCAAGCGUUGUUCGGAAUCACUGGGCGUAAAGGGCGCGUAGGCGGCCAUUCAAGUCGGAGGUGAAAGCCCAGGGCUCAACCCUGGAAUUGCCUUCGAUACUGUCUGGCUAGAGACCGGAAGAGGUAAGUGGAACUGCGAGUGUAGAGGUGAAAUUCGUAGAUAUUCGCAAGAACACCAGUGGCGAAGGCGGCUUACUGGUCCGGUUCUGACGCUGAGGCGCGAAAGCGUGGGGAGCAAACAGG
RNAcentral lists this ribosomal RNA (253 nucleotides) under uncultured bacterium. Its description in RNAcentral is "partial 16S ribosomal RNA". It matches the Rfam family "Bacterial small subunit ribosomal RNA", at positions 524 to 776 of the family's 1533-position model. The record is from RNAcentral.